RNAcentral lists this ribosomal RNA (1506 nucleotides) under Escherichia coli. RNAcentral describes it as "partial 23S ribosomal RNA". It matches the Rfam family "Bacterial large subunit ribosomal RNA", at positions 1 to 1545 of the family's 2925-position model. Lineage: Bacteria; Pseudomonadati; Pseudomonadota; Gammaproteobacteria; Enterobacterales; Enterobacteriaceae. The record is from RNAcentral.
UUGUGAGGUUAAGCGACUAAGCGUACACGGUGGAUGCCCUGGCAGUCAGAGGCGAUGAAGGACGUGCUAAUCUGCGAUAAGCGUCGGUGAGGUGAUAUGAACCGUUAUAACCGGCGAUUUCCGAAUGGGGAAACCCAGUGUGUUUCGACACACUAUCAUUAACUGAAUCCAUAGGUUAAUGAGGCGAACCGGGGGAACUGAAACAUCUAAGUACCCCGAGGAAAAGAAAUCAACCGAGAUUCCCCCAGUAGCGGCGAGCGAACGGGGAGGAGCCCAGAGCCUGAAUCAGUGUGUGUGUUAGUGGAAGCGUCUGGAAAGGCGCGCGAUACAGGGUGACAGCCCCGUACACAAAAAUGCACAUAUUGUGAGCUCGAUGAGUAGGGCGGGACACGUGGUAUCCUGUCUGAAUAUGGGGGGACCAUCCUCCAAGGCUAAAUACUCCUGACUGACCGAUAGUGAACCAGUACCGUGAGGGAAAGGCGAAAAGAACCCCGGCGAGGGGAGUGAAAAAGAACCUGAAACCGUGUACGUACAAGCAGUGGGAGCCUCUUAAUGGGGUGACUGCGUACCUUUUGUAUAAUGGGUCAGCGACUUAUAUUCUGUAGCAAGGUUAACCGAAUAGGGGAGCCGAAGGGAAACCGAGUCUUAACUGGGCGUUAAGUUGCAGGGUAUAGACCCGAAACCCGGUGAUCUAGCCAUGGGCAGGUUGAAGGUUGGGUAACACUAACUGGAGGACCGAACCGACUAAUGUUGAAAAAUUAGCGGAUGACUUGUGGCUGGGGGUGAAAGGCCAAUCAAACCGGGAGAUAGCUGGUUCUCCCCGAAAGCUAUUUAGGUAGCGCCUCGUGAAUUCAUCUCCGGGGGUAGAGCACUGUUUCGGCAAGGGGGUCAUCCCGACUUACCAACCCGAUGCAAACUGCGAAUACCGGAGAAUGUUAUCACGGGAGACACACGGCGGGUGCUAACGUCCGUCGUGAAGAGGGAAACAACCCAGACCGCCAGCUAAGGUCCCAAAGUCAUGGUUAAGUGGGAAACGAUGUGGGAAGGCCCAGACAGCCAGGAUGUUGGCUUAGAAGCAGCCAUCAUUUAAAGAAAGCGUAAUAGCUCACUGGUCGAGUCGGCCUGCGCGGAAGAUGUAACGGGGCUAAACCAUGCACCGAAGCUGCGGCAGCGACGCUUAUGCGUUGUUGGGUAGGGGAGCGUUCUGUAAGCCUGUGAAGGUGUGCUGUGAGGCAUGCUGGAGGUAUCAGAAGUGCGAAUGCUGACAUAAGUAACGAUAAAGCGGGUGAAAAGCCCGCUCGCCGGAAGACCAAGGGUUCCUGUCCAACGUUAAUCGGGGCAGGGUGAGUCGACCCCUAAGGCGAGGCCGAAAGGCGUAGUCGAUGGGAAACAGGUUAAUAUUCCUGUACUUGGUGUUACUGCGAAGGGGGGACGGAGAAGGCUAUGUUGGCCGGGCGACGGUUGUCCCGGUUUAAGCGUGUAGGCUGGUUUUCCAGGCAAAUCCGG